Small nucleolar RNA from Tachyglossus aculeatus (Australian echidna), 138 nucleotides. Lineage: Eukaryota; Metazoa; Chordata; Mammalia; Monotremata; Tachyglossidae. The record is from RefSeq and is a predicted model, not a curated record.
UCCUGCUCAGGGUAGCACCUGGAGUGUUUCCAGUACUCUACCAGUCUCAGCUACAGGUAGGUGAGUCAAGCAGAGGCCUACCUAUUCCAUUCCUAGCUUGGCCAGUGGUUAGCAAGUGGAAGGCAAUCUGCUACAAGU